AUGAUUGAUUGGCAAAUUGUUGUUAUUUUACAUGAAUUGGAGUUGUUUUACUUUUGACUUUAGCUGUUCAAUUUCAGUAGAUUUGAAUAUUAAGCAAUAGUGUAGGUUUAGCUCUUUAAGCAGUUUAGAGAAUUAUAGCAAAUGCUAUGUCGGUUUCAGUUCUUUACUUUCAGUUAGAGCACAUGUAACCAAUGUUCAGUGGCGGAACCCGAACUUGUUUUUAUUAGGCGUCAUCAUAAGGGUCCAGAUCAUGUCAAACCUGAAAGUACAAGUGUAGUUAAUAUUCUCCCUGAGUUUAUUCAAAUCUUUCACGUUCGGGUUAAACUGGCACCACUUUUUCUCUUGGUACCGCACGUUUUGGGCCGGUACCAAAAACGAGUUCUGACCUCGUCCUGAUAUAUCCAUAGCAAACUUGGGCUGCCUGUCAUAUCGAAAAAUCCCACAAUGCCAUUCGAAGUUGACCGGGGCAAUGCUCUUGGCAUCCUCAUCAAUAAGCCCGAAAAGGUACACUUCUAUCGGGCCGGGCCGAAGUGAUGUCCCUUUGUUUGAAGCAAGGCGGGGUAAAAGCCCGUUGUAGAACCGAUACGCCAUGUUAACGUUCGCAUUUUUAUCCCCGUCGGACGGCCACCCGACCUCCCCUCCAAUAAUCGGCAUGUCACCGUAGCCCGCAGCCUUUAAUGCGGACACUAAAAAAUUGUAAUUAGCGUUGAAAACGUUCGUGUAUUGGAUCCCGUCAUCGACAACGGGCUGUGGUGCACCGUCAAAGAAGGUGAAAUCAAUAGGAAAGUUAUCAUUCCCAUAGAGACUUAAAAAAGGGUAUAUGUUGACUGUGAAGGGUGUCAUCAUAAUUGGUCAGUAGGUCUGUUUGUCUGCUAAUCUUGACCAUAUUCUGCA
This 894-nucleotide long non-coding RNA is filed under the name Helianthus annuus (common sunflower). RNAcentral's name for it is "hypothetical non coding rna". The record is from RNAcentral. Lineage: Eukaryota; Viridiplantae; Streptophyta; Magnoliopsida; Asterales; Asteraceae.